This 3574-nucleotide long non-coding RNA is filed under the name Oreochromis niloticus (Nile tilapia). RNAcentral's name for it is "lncRNA (ENSONIG00000040564.1)". Lineage: Eukaryota; Metazoa; Chordata; Actinopteri; Cichliformes; Cichlidae. The record is from RNAcentral.
AUGAUUUAUGAUCAUGUUUAUGUUUCAGGAGUAAAUAUUCCGUCCGACCUGAAACUGUUUCCAGCGGUUGGAGUAACAUGUCUGCUGUUCAGCGUCUCAGAGAGUUUAUCACCGAGGAGGAGGAGGACAUGUUGGAGUCUGAGGAAGACUCUGGUGAUGAGGAGCCUCACAGAGCAGCAUGUCUGUGAGGAGGAGGAAAUCCUCACUGACCAGGAGAGGAGCUCCAGUGUGGAGCAGGAGGAACCAGAACCUCCACAGAUUAAAGAGGAACAGGAGGAACUGUGCAGCAGUCAGGAGGGAGAGCAGCUGGGACUGAAGGAGGAGACUGAUACCUUUAUGGUGACUACUGCUGAGGAAGGAGAGCACAGUGAACCAGGAGGAGACGGGGAGCAGCUCCUCUGUCACAGAUCUGCUGUAGCUGAGAGUCAGCAUCUGGAAGGAGGCAGGAGUGCAGACUCAGGACGUCUGAAAUUAGGAACAGAAGUGACAGCAGGAGGUUCCCCUACAUCAGAGAGUCGGUGUAACUCUGACAUGGGUAAAAAGCCUGUAAACUGUGAUAGUUGUGGGAAGGACAGAAUCCACACAGGUGAAGAGUGUGGGAAAAACUUCAGUUCUCGCUCUAACCUGAGCGUCCAUGUGAGAGCCCACACAGGCGAGAAGCCGGAUUCAUGUGAAACACGGAAAAAGGAGAAAUCCAUGUGAAAGGUGGACUGUUUCCAUGGCAACUUUCUGUCUGUCCUAGCCAAAGAUGCUCGUACAACCGAAACUCUCAAACUCAAGAACAGUUAAGAGAUGGGAGCGGUAUUCUGUGAAACAGAGUAAAGGUUUCAUUUAAAGCAGUGAAACAGGAAAAGCUGCCUGAGGUUUAAGUGAAGCUGCGCUUUCAGCAGUCACGUCUCUGUGCAGAUUAUUCAUAAACACAGUCUGAUUUUAUCUGUCUUUGCAUCCUUUUUUAUUUAUUUUAUGCUUCAAAUUGUGUAAUAAACAAAAUCUGAUGAUAUUUGUCUUUGAAUGUGACUAAACCUAAAACUACAGCUGCCUUCUAACUGUGCUGUUUCCACAUCAGGACAGAAUUAAUAACACUCAAUGUCCCAGGUGCUGUUAAACAGAGCAGAGAGCUUUAACAAACAUCCUGCUUUUAUUUUGGAUGCUUGUAAUUUGAUGGAUGGAAGGUGGGGGGGAGGUCCUUAUCUACACAGUGAUGGUAACUGUUCUGACCAUUAGAGAAAUCAUCAUGUAAAUGAAACUCUGUAAAGCACCGGUAAAAAUGAAUAAAUAAAAGUAUGCUGAUAUUGGAACAGUCAGCUCGUAGCUCUCACAAAGAGUAGAUGGCUCCUGCCUGAGUGCUGAUGCAGCAGAGGGGAAGCAGGUCACCCCUCCCUCCCUCACCUCCAGCUGUUUUCCUCCCAGACUGAAAGAAACCAGUUCAGCAGCUGUCUGCAGCCCAGAUGUUUCCUCUGUUUGUAGUGUAUGUGUAUAUUAAACUGUUUCCUGCGUGGGUCUAGUGUCACUGCUUUGUUCAUAAUGGCCUCUCUUAGUGAACUUGAACGUGGAUGUUUUAUAUUCUCUGUACAGCUUCACUAAGGUCCUGAAUAUUUAAACCUUUAUUUUGAAAAGAAAUACUUUUUUUUAUAUAUUUAUUUUUUACUUUAUUUGAAAUUAUAAUUUGAACAGUCAGUCAUUCCAGUUCAGUUUGUACAGUAGACAUACAGGGCAAAUAAAAGUAACAAUAUACAGUACAAUGAAAUAAGAAGGAUAAAUAAAUAAAGGAUAAAAAAAAGAGAGGGAUGUGACAGACGUCAUAACAACUUUGUACUUGAAAGUUGUAUCUGUGACAGCUUAUUCGUUAAACAUUUCUGAAUGAAUUUCAAUCAAUGAUAAACCUUUUUUAUUGGAAGUUAAUUUAAGAGAGUUUAAGUAAUAUUCAAUUUCAAUCAAAAACAAAUUAAAUGAUGGGGUUGAGUUUUGAAAUUUACAUUUAUGUAUAUGGAAUUUCCCUAAUAAGACAUAAAGAUUGACAAUGGCACAUAUUUUUUUUCUUUAGUUUCAAAAUAAGUGAUAAUGUUCUUCCCUUCAAUUUUGAUUUCGUAUUUUGAAAAGAAAUAACAAACCUGACGUCAUCAUUCUUUCUUACUGCUCUGUUCUUUGUUUUUAUCUCAUCUUUUAUUUUCUGCUCAGAGCUCGAAGCAGUUAACGGUCUCCGGAGGGCAGCGCCGCGUCAUAUCCGGUAGAAGCACCGGCGAAAUGCUUGGCCUGAACCGGAAGUGUGUUGUGUUGUUGUGUGUGAGCUGAGUGUGUGAGCCGAGUGUGUGAGCUAGUGAUGGGUAGAUGAGGCCUCGUGAAGCGUUUCAGCACAUUCCCCAAACUGUGUCGACACAAUGUUGCUGUUUUGCUCCAUACUGACACCUGCUGGACCUUAAAUAUCAUUGCAGGCAACUUACUUGAGACUCGCAACAGACACUGAUUCAAUGACCUAGUCAUACGUGUAUACACUGUAAGGUAUUGUACUUUCCAUGGAAUCAUUUUAUAUCUUUUAUAUUACAAAUAUUGUAGACAUCUUUAAAAUAUAUUGUGAAUGACAUUAAGUGAAAAUUAAAAUUAAAGUAUUGUGAAUGUAAUAUUACCCAUUUGACUCAGAGUUUAUUAUAAAUUUCUAUUCAGAAAAAUAAGUUUAUCCAAUGUUUUUGCAUUCAGUCUAUUGCGGGGGGUUUUUUGACACCAUUUCCCCAGCUUUGGAAAACAUACAGGCACAGAUGAAGCUGGGGUACACAAACUGUAAAGCCAGGUGGAAAAGGUUCAGAUAAGAUGUCUUCCUAUUCCCCCAGUACGUUAAAGGAUCCUCUGAUCUUGGAAUGUUUCUCUCCGACACUCUCCACAAUACUAAGGGGUUGGCAGUCCUUUAUAAUAAAAUUCAGGACUGCCUGGUCCAGAACAGUCUUCCUAGAUGCUUGAUUUGAAAAUAAUAAAACACACAUUAAUAAAAAAAAAAAAUGAUGAUAAAGCUGUUCAGUGUCUAUAUAGGCCUACCAGUGUUCAUUCUCGGUGUGUUUGUCUCCUCAUUUUCAUGUUUGGCUCUGUAAUGCCUAAACACGGAGGAGGUGCUUUUGUUUGUGUAAGAAACGCAGACCAGAUGCGACAUUUAACCUGCAUAAAAUGAAAUAAAUAAUUUACACUUCAAGUCACAUUGCUGUUUUUCCUAUUCUGAUAGAUUACACUGAAACAAAGACAGACAAACAGUUACCUUAUUUGCAGUGAAAAGAUCAAAAUGAUCCCGCACAGCAGAAACAUUUCUUUUUCUUUCAGGCUCCAUUUUGUUUUUGGAGAGAUGUGUAUUUUUUUUUUUUUUUAAAUCUUUGCGAGAGUAAUUUUGUGUGUUUUUUGGUGGCGACUCAUUCCGUUGGCAGAUGCGGAUGCGGUACCUUUUAAACACAGUUUGGAGCGUUGGCAAUGAGCGAUACAGCAGCUGUAUCGAUCACGUGACUUUUUCUUAAAGCGACGCACGCACCGAUACAGGCAUCGCUAGGUGAGCUUGAUACAAGCGUCGGUGCGUCAGUGUUGCAGGACCCAUCACUAG